CCUACGGGAGGCAGCAGUCGAGAAUCAUUCACAAUGGGGGAAACCCUGAUGGUGCGACGCCGCGUGGGGGAAUGAAGUUCUUCGGAUUGUAAACCCCUGUCAUGUGGGAGCAAAUUAAAAAGAUAGUACCACAAGAGGAAGAGACGGCUAACUCUGUGCCAGCAGCCGCGGUAAUACAGAGGUCUCAAGCGUUGUUCGGAAUCACUGGGCGUAAAGCGUGCGUAGGCUGUUUCGUAAGUCGUGUGUGAAAGGCGCGGGCUCAACCCGCGGACGGCACAUGAUACUGCGAGACUAGAGUAAGGGAGGGGGAACCGGAAUUCUCGGUGGAGCAGUGAAAUGCGUAGAUAUCGAGAGGAACACUCGUGGCGAAGGCGGGUUCCUGGACAUUAACUGACGCUGAGGCACGAAGGCCAGGGGAGCGAAAGGGAUUAGAUACCCGGGUAGUC
Molecule: ribosomal RNA, 446 nt
Filed under: uncultured bacterium
Lineage: Bacteria
Description: partial 16S ribosomal RNA
Rfam family: Bacterial small subunit ribosomal RNA
Source: RNAcentral